RNAcentral lists this ribosomal RNA (426 nucleotides) under uncultured bacterium. RNAcentral describes it as "partial 16S ribosomal RNA". It matches the Rfam family "Bacterial small subunit ribosomal RNA", at positions 354 to 796 of the family's 1533-position model. The record is from RNAcentral.
GUGAGGAAUUUUCCGCAAUGGGCGAAAGCCUGACGGAGCAAUGCCGCGUGAAGGAUGAAGGCCUAUGGGUUGUAAACUUCUUUUCUCAGAAAAGAAUUAUGACGGUAUCUGAGGAAUAAGCAUCGGCUAACUCUGUUCCAGCAGCCGCGGUAAGACAGAGGAUGCAAGCGUUAUCCGGAAUGAUUGGGCGUAAAGCGUCUGUAGGUUGUUUAAAAAGUAUUCUGUCAAAGAUUAGGGCUUAACCCUAGAUAGGCAGAAUAAACUUUUAAGCUAGAGUUUGGUAGAGGCAGAGGGAAUUCCCGGUGGAGCGGUGAAAUGCGUAGAUAUCGGGAGGAACACCAAAGGCGAAGGCACUCUGCUGGGCCAAUACUAACACUGAGAGACGAAAGCGAGGGGAGCAAAUGGGAUUAGAUACCCGAGUAGUCC